This is a long non-coding RNA of Corvus hawaiiensis (hawaiian crow), 329 nucleotides long. RefSeq lists it as uncharacterized. The record is from RefSeq and is a predicted model, not a curated record. NCBI's taxonomy places the organism in Eukaryota, Metazoa, Chordata, Aves, Passeriformes, Corvidae. The transcript has 3 exons.
GGGAUUUUGGGGGGAUUUUGGGGGGUUCUUUCCAUCCCGUGCCUUUCCCAGAGGGAUUUUGGGGUUUCUCUCCAUCCUGUGCCUCUCCUGGAGGGAUUUUGGGGGGUUCUUUCCAUCCUGUGCCUCUCCCGGAGGGAUUUUGGGGAGGAUUUGGGGGAGAUUUUGGGGUUUCUCUCCAUCCUGUGCCUCUCCCGGAGGGAUUUGGGGGAGAUUUUGGGGGGGGAUUUUGUGGGAUUCCCUCCAUCCUGUGCCUCUCCCAGCGGGAUUUGGGGAGGAUUUGGGGAGGAUUUGGGGGUUUCCCUCUCUCCCAUGCCUCUCCCAGCAGGAUU